RNAcentral lists this ribosomal RNA (454 nucleotides) under Lathrocordulia metallica. RNAcentral describes it as "eukaryotic LSU rRNA". Lineage: Eukaryota; Metazoa; Arthropoda; Insecta; Odonata; Corduliidae. The record is from RNAcentral.
GAAGAGAGAGUUCAAGAGUACGUGAAACCGUCUGGGAGUAAACGGGUGGUUCCCGAAAGUACGAAAGGGGAGAUUCAGGUCUCGCUGCGCGUCGGGCGGCGCCCGCGAUCAGAGAUGGUGUUCUCGCGGCCGGGGGGCGACCCUCGGUCCGGGGNNNACUCCACUCCGCGGGCGCCGGUUGUUCCCGGCGCCGGAGUGACGCACUUCUCCCCCAGUAGAACGUCGCGACCCGUCGGGCGCCGGCCUAAGGUCCCGGGUGGAGUCUGCGCAGUUCGCUGCGCACGACCCCGGGGAUCCCGGCCGGGUGCUCGACGGUACGAAGAGAGGAAGGAGUCGACGCGCCGCUCGUCGGCGUCCGGCCCUCCGCAAGCGCCCGCGGGAGUCCGAGACUCCGGGCCCGGCCCGGUCUCGGUCCCUCCGCGGGGCUGUUUGCGAUGAGGAGGUGUCCUCGGAC